GUUGUUGUGGCUCAGGGGUAGAGUGCUCGUUUAGCACAUGCAAGGCCCUGAGUUUGAUCCUUAGCACCACA
This 71-nucleotide transfer RNA is filed under the name Marmota monax (woodchuck). Its description in RNAcentral is "tRNA.Ala". Lineage: Eukaryota; Metazoa; Chordata; Mammalia; Rodentia; Sciuridae. The record is from RNAcentral.